This 383-nucleotide ribosomal RNA is filed under the name uncultured eukaryote. Its description in RNAcentral is "partial 18S ribosomal RNA". It matches the Rfam family "Eukaryotic small subunit ribosomal RNA", at positions 592 to 976 of the family's 1831-position model. The record is from RNAcentral.
CAAUAGCGUAUAUUAAAGUUGUUGCAGUUAAAAAGCUCGUAGUUGGAUUUCUGGUGGGAGCGAUCGGUCUGGCGCUUAGCGCGAGUACUUGCAUCGUCUCCGGCCAUCCUUGGGGAGUGUCUGUCUGGCAUUAGGUUGUCGGGCAGAGGAUCCUCAUCGUUUACUGUGAAAAAAUUAGAGUGUUCAAAGCAGGCUUAUGCCGUUGAAUAUAUUAGCAUGGAAUAAUAAGAUAGGACUUUGGUACUAUUUUGUUGGUUUGUGCACCAAAGUAAUGAUUAAUAGGGACAGUUGGGGGUAUUCGUAUUCCGUUGUCAGAGGUGAAAUUCUUGGAUUUACGGAAGACGAACUACUGCGAAAGCAUUUACCAAGGAUGUUUUCAUUAA